Molecule: small nuclear RNA, 102 nt
Organism: Equus asinus (donkey)
Lineage: Eukaryota; Metazoa; Chordata; Mammalia; Perissodactyla; Equidae
Source: Ensembl
CUGCUUUGGCAGCAUGUAUUCUAAAACUGGAACAUACAUAGAAAAUUAGCAUGACCCCUGUGCAACAAUGACAGGCAAAUUCAUGAAGCUUUCCUUAUUUUU